AAUAUUUUGAUAUUAUGGGCCAGAUUUACUAAUAGCUUGCACCAUAGUACUGUCAGGAUUACUAAAGAAAUGCAGUGAUGAAAAAUUGGGCACAUUUUUUUUUGCAACUAACAUUACUGCAUAUUUGUGGUAGUUUAUAUAUUUUAACCCAUUUUUGUGCUUGGCAAUAAUGCUGCUAGAAAAUGCAGGAUAUGUUGGUCAUUAUGUGUCUGUGGAUCAACAGCUCAACUUUACACUUCAGUCUACACUUUUAUGGGAUUUUGGACUCAUGCUAAUUUGACCUGUUUAGUAAAUCUGGCCUUAUAUUCUCAAUGACAACUCGCUACUGUUUUUACUAGUGUUGAUGAAUGUAAUAUUAUUUUCCUACAGAUGCAAAGGGAAAUCUUGCACUAAAGCUGUUACCUGUUUUGCUUCUACCUCCACCCUACAAAAUUGGCAGAAAAACAGUCCGACCCAGCAAUGAUGAAAGCAAAAAAGCUUUCAUUGACAUUCAGCCUGUUGGAACAAAUAUGGAGUACCUCCAGCAGGCUGAAGCAUCAAGACCUUACCCUUAUGUCCUGUAACUUGAAAAUGGACACAUUGCGUCGCGGGCAUUUGUCAUCCUCGCAGGAGAAGCUUUGGAACAAAGCACUAUUGUUUAAGGGGAAGUCGUGGACUAAUGGUUAGAGAGUUGGACUCGCAAUUUAAGGGUUGUGUGUUCGAGUCUCGGGCCGACAGGAAUUGUUGGUUGAGGGGAUUGCAUGUACAGUUCUCUCUCCACCUUCAAUACCACAACUUGGGUGCCCUUGAGCAAGGCAUCGAACCCCCAACUGCUCCCAAUUUUUGAGUUGGAGGGAAGUGAAUCCCCAACAGUGAAAUUUUUGCACUGGGCACUACAUUCUUGCAAGUAGAUUAUAAGAGGUUCUUUGAACAAACAGUGGUUCAAGAACACGAGGUAGCAUUUUAGUUUAAGUUUUAUUUGCACAUGAGAUUUUUGUUCUGUUU
Molecule: long non-coding RNA, 984 nt
Organism: Carassius auratus (goldfish)
Lineage: Eukaryota; Metazoa; Chordata; Actinopteri; Cypriniformes; Cyprinidae
Exons: 2
Source: RefSeq, a predicted model, not a curated record